Molecule: ribosomal RNA, 279 nt
Filed under: uncultured marine eukaryote
Lineage: Eukaryota
Description: partial 18S ribosomal RNA
Rfam family: Eukaryotic small subunit ribosomal RNA
Source: RNAcentral
UUAAAAAGCUCGUAGUUGGAUUUCUGCGGGGGCGGGGCGGCCGAACGCUUAUAGCGUUUCGAGCUAGCACUUCCCCUGCAUCCUGCCGCGAACCGUGCUACCAUUAGUUUGGUGGCGCCGGGGAUCGGCUCGUUUACUUUGAGAAAAAUAGAGUGUUCAAAGCAGGCCACACGCCUUGAAUAAGUUAGCAUGGAAUAAUGAUAAAGGACUUCGGUUCUAUUUUGUUGGUGUUCGGGACUGAAGUAAUGAUUGAUAGGGACAGUUGGGGCGGUCCGUAUU